UACGUAGGGGGCAAGCGUUGUCCGGAAUCAUUGGGCGUAAAGAGCGCGUAGGCGGUCCGGUAAGUCGGUUGUGAAAACUGGGGGCUCAACCCUCAGAGGCCGACCGAUACUGUCGGGCUAGAGUCCGGAAGAGGCGAGUGGAAUUCCUGGUGUAGCGGUGGAAUGCGCAGAUAUCAGGAGGAACACCAACGGCGAAGGCAGCUCGCUGGGACGGUACUGACACUGAGGCGCGAAAGCGUGGGGAGCGAACAGG
This 253-nucleotide ribosomal RNA is filed under the name uncultured bacterium. Its description in RNAcentral is "partial 16S ribosomal RNA". It matches the Rfam family "Bacterial small subunit ribosomal RNA", at positions 524 to 776 of the family's 1533-position model. The record is from RNAcentral.